GACGAACGCUGGCGGCGUGCUUAACACAUGCAAGUCGAACGGAAAGGCCCUGCUUUUGUGGGGUGCUCGAGUGGCGAACGGGUGAGUAACACGUGAGUAACCUGCCCUUGACUUUGGGAUAACUUCAGGAAACUGGGGCUAAUACCGGAUAGGAGCUCCUGCUGCAUGGUGGGGGUUGGAAAGUUUCGGCGGUUGGGGAUGGACUCGCGGCUUAUCAGCUUGUUGGUGGGGUAGUGGCUUACCAAGGCUUUGACGGGUAGCCGGCCUGAGAGGGUGACCGGCCACAUUGGGACUAAGAUACGGCCCAGACUCCUACGGGAGGCAGCAGUGGGGAAUAUUGCACAAUGGGGGGAAGCCUGAUGCAGCAACGCCGCGUGCGGGAUGACGGCCUUCGGGUUGUAAACCGCUUUCGCCUGUGACGAAGCGUGAGUGACGGUAAUGGGUAAAGAAGCACCGGCUAACUACGUG
RNAcentral lists this ribosomal RNA (468 nucleotides) under uncultured bacterium. RNAcentral's name for it is "partial 16S ribosomal RNA". It matches the Rfam family "Bacterial small subunit ribosomal RNA", at positions 28 to 507 of the family's 1533-position model. The record is from RNAcentral.